Molecule: ribosomal RNA, 199 nt
Filed under: uncultured bacterium
Lineage: Bacteria
Description: partial 16S ribosomal RNA
Rfam family: Bacterial small subunit ribosomal RNA
Source: RNAcentral
ACGCUCGACACCUAUGGGAGGCAGCAGUGGGGAAUAUUGCACAAUGGGGGAAACCCUGAUGCAGCGACGCCGCGUGAGCGAAGAAGUAUUUCGGUAUGUAAAGCUCUAUCAGCAGGGAAGAAGAAAGACGGUACCUGACUAAGAAGCCCCGGCUAACUACGUGCCAACAGCCGCGGUAAUCUGAGCGGGCUGGCAAGGC